Molecule: ribosomal RNA, 382 nt
Filed under: uncultured eukaryote
Lineage: Eukaryota
Description: partial 18S ribosomal RNA
Rfam family: Eukaryotic small subunit ribosomal RNA
Source: RNAcentral
CAAUAGCGUAUAUUAAAGUUGUUGCGGUUAAAAAGCUCGUAGUUGGAAUUUGGCAGUUCCGGAUGUGUGCACGUCGUGUGCGCACUUCGCGGGGAUUGCUUUUGUGGUCUUGCGUAGGAUGAGGCACUUUUAUUAGUGAACGUCCUCACGCAACCACUUUUUACUGUGAGAAAAUCAGAGUGCUCAAAGCAGGCAUUUGCCGUGAAUGUAUUAGCAUGGAAUAAUAGAAUAGGACUUGGUUCUAUUUUGUUGGUUUGUUGGGACUGAGUAAUGAUUAAGAGGGACAGUUGGGGGCAUUUGUAUUUCGGUGCUAGAGGUGAAAUUCUUAGAUUACCGAAAGACAAACUGCUGCGAAAGCGUCUGCCAAGGAUGUUUUCAUUGA